UGGGGAAUAUUGCACAAUGGGCGCAAGCCUGAUGCAGCCAUGCCGCGUGUAUGAAGAAGGCCUUCGGGUUGUAAAGUACUUUCAGCGGGGAGGAAGGGAGUAAAGUUAAUACCUUUGCUCAUUGACGUUACCCGCAGAAGAAGCACCGGCUAACUCCGUGCCAGCAGCCGCGGUAAUACGGAGGGUGCAAGCGUUAAUCGGAAUUACUGGGCGUAAAGCGCACGCAGGCGGUUUGUUAAGUCAGAUGUGAAAUCUCCGGGCUCAACCUGGGAACUGCAUCUGAUACUGGCAAGCUUGAGUCUCGUAGAGGGGGGUAGAAUUCCAGGUGUAGCGGUGAAAUGCGUAGAGAUCUGGAGGAAUACCGGUGGCGAAGGCGGCCCCCUGGACGAAGACUGACGCUCAGGUGCGAAAGCGUGGGGAGCAAACAGG
This 429-nucleotide ribosomal RNA is filed under the name Chloroflexota bacterium. RNAcentral's name for it is "Chloroflexi bacterium partial 16S ribosomal RNA". It matches the Rfam family "Bacterial small subunit ribosomal RNA", at positions 355 to 776 of the family's 1533-position model. Lineage: Bacteria; Bacillati; Chloroflexota. The record is from RNAcentral.